GAUUUUGGCCUAAAAUAUGUCUCGUAACCUUUAGAAAAGCAAAACAGUGUUCCUCCUAUAUUGGGGUUAUUACUACUAGACAACAUACACGAAUAAAAAGCAGCAUUUUUGUCAAAUUCGAAUGGUAUUAUUUCCCAAUUAGCGUGGUAUGGUGCGAUUGAAAACAUUGUAUGGUUGCUGCGGUGGCGUUCGAAUUGUUUUGCCUUACAGUCCAAACUCGGAGUUUACAUUGAACAUUGCUAACAACACUGGCCUUGUCAUGUGUUUUACAGUUAACGUCAACCCACGCACAACGUUUUAUUAGAACAAGAAAAUAGAGGAGCCGAUGAUUAACCGGAGGUCGUCCCUUUGUUAAUGCCCGCUCCUGUAGUUGUCAACAAGUGCUUCUGAAGCCGUAGCAGUAAUUUCCCAGCUAGUUGUCUAAGCUAAGUCGCUAGCUGUGUAGCUAUAGCCUGCCUGAGCUGGCUCCUUGCUGGCUUUCUUUCGGGUUGUUCGCGACCUACUCACUGACUGCCUGCCUGCUUUUCUGCAUAAUAACACUGGAAAAGAAUAAAAGGAAUGGUGCAGCCCCAACCUGAUGGCCCACUGCAGUGGGACAUGUCAGGAGAGGAUAGUGGAGGGGCCCUCAGGGUCCCACCUGAGCUGGCAGCCAAUGAAGUGGUCACCAGGUUGCUUGGAGACAAUCAGCAGCUCAGA
Molecule: long non-coding RNA, 696 nt
Organism: Hippocampus comes (tiger tail seahorse)
Lineage: Eukaryota; Metazoa; Chordata; Actinopteri; Syngnathiformes; Syngnathidae
Exons: 2
Source: RefSeq, a predicted model, not a curated record